This 571-nucleotide ribosomal RNA is filed under the name Nicrophorus kieticus. Its description in RNAcentral is "eukaryotic LSU rRNA". The record is from RNAcentral. Lineage: Eukaryota; Metazoa; Arthropoda; Insecta; Coleoptera; Silphidae.
CGUGAAACCGUCCAGGGAUAAACCUGGGGACCUUGGCAGUUCGAACGGGCGGGCAUUCAUCACUCCGGUGAACCGACCGGCAGCUUCGAGCGUCGCAUUCGUGCGCGUCUCUGUGGCUGUCGGNNUUCGGCCGCCGAGUGUGCAUUUGCCCUGCCCGAGUAGAAACACUGCGAGCCGUUGGAUGGGCGUCGGUGGCCGGUGACGAAGUUCGUUUUGGGGUUUCGGCCUCUUUUCGAGCUCGCCGCGCUUGGCCUCGUCCGACGGUGAAUCGAUGACGCGAGCCCGCACCUCGGCGUGCGUUCGGCUCUCGACAAGCGGCGGCGGUGUUCCGGCAGUUCGGUGCUUCGGCCCCGGCGUCGGACCCGUCACGUUAUUAGUCGGGAUGCUCUCGGACCGUGGCUCCGUCGUUCGCCAGUGAGUUUGGCCGCAGGCACCCUCAGGACCCGUCUUGAAACACGGACCAAGGAGUCUAGCAUGUAUGCGAGUCUCAAGGGAACUCGAUACCCUCAGGCGCAGUUAACGCAAAUGACGCUUCGCGUCCUAAUGGAGGAUAGGUGACCGCACGCGGUCG